Long non-coding RNA from Oenanthe melanoleuca, 3756 nucleotides. RefSeq lists it as uncharacterized. Lineage: Eukaryota; Metazoa; Chordata; Aves; Passeriformes; Muscicapidae. The record is from RefSeq and is a predicted model, not a curated record. The transcript is spliced from 2 exons.
ACUUACCUGUGUGAAGCCAGCAAAAUGCUUUAAACUCUUGAAUCAGAGCCUGAUAAAGGGUAAGUACUGUAUUCCUUUAUAAACUUGUUUUAUGGUGGUUUUCAGGGAAAAACAUUAAACCAAGUGGGCUUCCUCUGGGUUCAUUAGGUGACUACUGAAAAUGGUUGUUUCAGGGUAACAGAAACCCUUAGAAAUCUUUUUUCCACGUUCUCUUGGAACUUCACCAGCCACAAGCACAAUGGGGGGCGGAGGGAGGAAAGUCUUACAUCCCAUUGUCUCCACAGGACUCCCUGUUCCCUACUGAACGCCAGUGUCAAUUUUUCCGAACAGCUUUGUCUUUCUGCCAAAGAUAAUGUACAUGUUUGGAGUGUGUGGGUAAAGAUUAAAACCUUGUGGAUGCUUUGCAGUACUUAAGACUAGCUUCAAACAUCUCAACAAAAUAGUAAAGCUAUAAGUAUCAAAAUAGUGUACAUCACUUUAUAUAUAUAUAUUAUUUUUUUAAAUAAAUCUGUGUGGAAAUAAGUUCUCUUAAAAAGCUCUAUUAGUCAGUUCUUUUUUUUUUUUUUUUUUUUUUUUUUUGUGGGAGGCUUCUGGUAUGUGGUUUUGCUCCUCCUUGAACAUGACAAAGUGAAACUAAAGGAAAAAAAUUUCUGCCUCCUUUCUGAACUUAACAACAUGAUUUUUUCCAAAAACAGAAGAGAGUUCAAGACCAUAAAAAUAUUAUUGCUAAAUUUUAAUCCCCUGAAAAGGUCAGGCUAAACCAAACAAAGUCCAUUGAGGAGAAGUUGUUUUUAUCUAGGCAUUAACUUCAGUGGUGCUGUGAAAGCCUGCUCCAGGGUAGGUUCACUAUGCAAAUGUCAAAUGGGAAUGUGUUCUUCUCAAGCUGUCUCUUCCUGCAUGGUUAUUGAAGGAUAAAACUUAAUUCUGGGAAGAUUAUUCCCCAUCAGUAUCUCAGGACCAAAUGCAUACAUCUAUAGUAUGUCCUCUGUGUCACCAGGGCUUGGCUGGCUGAGGGAGACACUGUGUGACAGCAGCCACUGGUGAGAGACUUCAAGGGCCUGCAGUGAGAAGAGUGACUGGGUAGUGAGGAGAAACAGUUACCUGAAGUCUCACAUUUGAGCCCCUAACAGCAGCAGAUUUUCUUAUUCCUCCCUCUGUACCUGUUCCAUUCAGUUACAAUUCCACCUUGGCAAGCACUGCCACAGAGGAACCAUCAGCACUAGUUUAAGUACUGUGUUUCCUGUCCUUCAAAACAUUCAAACAACCUUGCACUUGGCCUCAUGAAGUUCACAAGGGCCAAGCUCUCCAGCCUGUCCAGUCCCUGAGGAUGGCAUUCCUUCCCUCCAGUGAGUCAGGCACACCACACAGUUCGGUGUUGGUGAAUUUGCUGAGGCUACACUCAAUCCCCGUGUCCGUGUCACUGAUGCUACAAAGUGCCAAUCCCAACACCAGCCCUUGAGGAGCAUCACUCAUCUCUGGUCUCCACCUGGACAUUGAGCUGUUGACUCUGGGUGUGACCAUCUAACCAGUCCAUCACCCACCAAGUAUCCAUCUGCCAAAUCCAUGUCUUCCCACUUCAGAGACAAGGCUGUUGUGAGGCACAGUGCCAGGUGCUUUGCACUGCUCCAGGCAGGUGAUGUUGCUCUCCUCUCAUCCAUCACCAGCUGUAACCCCAUCCCAGCAGGCCACCACACUGUCAGGCAUGACUUGCCCUUGGUGAAGCCAUGCCCUCAGGCUGCCAUCACUCUCCUCCUUAUUCUCCAUAUGCCUUAGCAUAGCUCCAGGAGAAUCUGCUCCAUCAUCUUGCCAGGCACUCAGGUGAGACUGACUGGCCGGUAGAUGAUGUUCUUUUGAAGAAUACACUGUCAGAAAAGGACAUGGAAACACUGCUCCCCGGUUUCCUUCAACUGGAAGCCAGAAUGUCCCUUUGGGGCCUUUGCCCAGGUGAAACUGCACACUUCAGUCAUGUUAGGAAAAAGAAAGUCGGUUGCUUUUGCAGAUUCUUGCCUUAUAAAAACUGAAUCAUCUCAUGAGUGGUGUUAAAGGCUGAUGGUUGGGCUGGAUCUCAAAGGCCUCUUCCAAGCUUACUGUGGCAAUUUACACUGUAUCUGUCACACUUCAGGAAAGCAGAUUUUCUGAGACAAGAGAGUCGUGCGUUGUCUUUAGAUGGCAUUACAACCUAUAAUCCACAGUUGGCUGGGUGACUUCACUGGUGGUUCCAGCCAAAGGGCUAAACACGAGCCAUAAGAAGACAGAAAGCUCUGGGAUAUGUCAGGAAGACACAGCUGUUAUGGUGCAGUGAAAAGACAGAGAUGUUUGGGGGGCAAUUCCAUCUUCCUCUGCCAAACUAUUGAAGUCCUGUUCCUUCCUCCUCACUUGGCUUUCUCUAUGAUUGCUGAUCAGGUUGUAUUAAAACAAAGAGUGAUUCUGUCCUUUGGCCUCAGGAAAUCACUGAGUUUUGAAACAAAUGUAGCUUCUGUGCUGUUUUGCAGUACAAGUGGCAUUAAAAAAUGGAAAGCAUUGCAGUAAUAUUGAUCCACCCCACCCUCCUCCUUAAAAAAAAAAUCUCAUUUUUCUAUGUUUCAGAUUACAAUUAAACUACCAGCAAUAACCUCUGAAAAGCUGUCUAUUGCUGCUUGGCUUGUACACUGCAAACCCCUGAGUGCUCAACAGUCAAAGGUUUUGUGCAGCAAUUUGAAGUAUCCUCUUGUGAAAACAGCAGCUCUGGUUUUAUAACUAGUGCACUACCAUAACACUGUUUUUACUAGCUCAAGGUUCAAUUUCAAUACAAUAAUAAAUAACAAAACCUUCUUCAAACAGCUCCUUAAAAAUAGUUUUAAAAAGAAACUGCAUGGACAGCAACUCUUCCUGUUUAGGGAAAUGACUAAAGGCCAUGCAGUCUCUCCCUCCUGUUAAUGAGGAAGAGGAGAAAGAGAGAAAUGACAAGACUCAGACACUGCUGUCCUGAAUGAUGGAGCUGGCACUCAACAUCGUAGCUCUUGUGUGAAUGGGACCAGAAAUUCUUUGUGCUCUGCAAUCUCACCCCACUCGUGCUGCAGGAAGCAGCUGACUGGCCUUUUCCACCCACCACAUCCUUUGGAAUGAAGAUGAUAUCUCCCUGCAACCACUGCCUACAGACAAGAUGCCACAAGCAAACAGGUGUUUUCAGCAGGCAGGCAGGAAGGGAGAAAAAUAAAUAAACCUGAGUCUGCAAGAGAGGAAGAAGGCUGUGACACACUUUCUAAUACUUUCACGUUGAAUUUUAUCCCAACCAGCAAAUCCUGCCUGUCUCAGAUCCAAUGAAAGGGCUUUUCACUGCUUCAGAGAGCAGGACUAGACAGUUAUGUUAAAACAAAUAAUAAAACAAAGGGAGAGUCAUUUAACAAAGUCAAGUUUGCCAGCAAGUUUUCCUGUGGAUAAGUAUACCAGUGUUUGCUAACUAUGCAAAAUUAGCCAAAGGUCAUAUUGGCUGUGUCCCAAAUUGCAGACAAACCUUUGAGUGGAGCAAAGACUUCAGUUUCUGCUGCAGCAUCACACCCUUCUGCUUAUGUCCUUUAAUGUUUACAUAACCUUGAGUCUAGAGCCAAUGAAAAAGGGUUUAUAUUUUUUCUAAAAAUGUCAGCCCAUGUUUAAAAACAAAGCAAAAAAGCCCAGCCCUUCCCUACAGAGAGACCAAUUCAAAAACUUCUAAAACAAAGACCUUGAAAACCUGUAUCUUGUUUUGGCAUGUGAAAAAAUAAUAAAUAAAAAAUUCCU